UCUAUCUUCACCGCCGCCAGAGUUAAACAACAACAAAUCUAUUCCAAUUUCAACUUUAUUGCUGUGUUUUCCAUUUUCAAGAGAAGCUAAGUCAAAGGCUGAAAGAAAGAAUGACAUGUCCAUUGAAUGAAGAUGGUGAUAUGAAGCUUAUAGAAGAGAAGCAAAAAGGAGGGAAGAAUAAUAUUAUUGGAAAUUUGAAGGAACAAAAACAGGUAGAAAAAAGGUGUGAAGAAGGGUCUGAAUAUGAGUAUGCGAUUAGUUAUGUAGAGGUUGAAUUUGAAGAUGACGACGCCAGUGAAUAUGAAAGUAGCAGCAGCUCUAGUGAUUACGAUUAUGAAAGCAGCGACUCUGAUGAUUAUGAGUCUGUCACUGGUGAUUUUUGUUACAGCAGUAGUGACACUGAUGAUGUGCUUAGCUACGAUGAUGAUGAAUUUGAAAUUGAUUAUAUUCACAGUGACACUGACAACAAUGACACUGACACUGAUUAAGGUGUGAUUCUUGGAUCCUGGUAGCGAAGCCUUUUUCUGUCCUUAGAUUUAUGAGUUAUUGAGUGACAAGUUAAGUAAGUAGGUAGGGAAUUAUAUAUAUAUAUACACUAGUAUAUGGUUAUGAAGUUUUCAACUAUCUGACCAUUUAAAUAAGUUUAUAUUAUCUGAUGACGAUGAUUAAACCAGUGUAGCCGUGACAUGUUAAUUUGCUUUAACUUUUCACGUUUGUGUUUAUGUUUCUGUCUACUCAAGUGUAGUGUUUAUGUUGGAAUUUUAGCAGA
This is a long non-coding RNA of Cicer arietinum (chickpea), 769 nucleotides long. RefSeq lists it as uncharacterized. The record is from RefSeq and is a predicted model, not a curated record. Lineage: Eukaryota; Viridiplantae; Streptophyta; Magnoliopsida; Fabales; Fabaceae.